CCUACGGGUGGCUGCAGUGGGGAAUAUUGGACAAUGGGCGAAAGCCUGAUCCAGCCAUGCCGCGUGUGUGAAGAAGGCCUUCGGGUUGUAAAGCACUUUCAGUGGGGAAGAAAGCCUUGGGGCUAAUACCCUCGAGGAAGGACAUCACCCACAGAAGAAGCACCGGCUAACUCCGUGCCAGCAGCCGCGGUAAUACGGAGGGUGCGAGCGUUAAUCGGAAUUACUGGGCGUAAAGCGCGCGUAGGCGGUCUGAUAAGCCGGUUGUGAAAGCCCCGGGCUCAACCUGGGAACGGCAUCCGGAACUGUCAGGCUAGAGUGCAGGAGAGGAAGGUGGAAUUCCCGGUGUAGCGGUGAAAUGCGUAGAGAUCGGGAGGAAUACCAGUGGCGAAGGCGGCCUUCUGGACUGACACUGACGCUGAGGUGCGAAAGCGUGGGUAGCAAACAGGAUUAGAUACCCCAGUAGUC
This 465-nucleotide ribosomal RNA is filed under the name Vreelandella stevensii. RNAcentral describes it as "partial 16S ribosomal RNA". It matches the Rfam family "Bacterial small subunit ribosomal RNA", at positions 338 to 795 of the family's 1533-position model. Lineage: Bacteria; Pseudomonadati; Pseudomonadota; Gammaproteobacteria; Oceanospirillales; Halomonadaceae. The record is from RNAcentral.